Molecule: long non-coding RNA, 4851 nt
Organism: Melopsittacus undulatus (budgerigar)
Lineage: Eukaryota; Metazoa; Chordata; Aves; Psittaciformes; Psittaculidae
Exons: 6
Source: RefSeq, a predicted model, not a curated record
AUUCUUGACAGGAGCCACAGGAGCUGAAAUCAGAAGAGAAUCUCACCAGAGAUUAGUACCCGUAUCUCAACAGUGGCUGAGAGAAUUCUGAUUAUGACCUAGGCUGAUUUAUGCUUCUGAACACACCUGGCUAGCCUCAACCGUGAAUUCUGUGUCUACAGAGAGGUGGCAUAAUGGGAGUACAAACACGCAUGGAUUUAUGAAACUGCAUUUGAUAUCCAAGCAAGGCAAGGAGCCCUGCUGAAUUCAGGAAGAAGUCCUGGAGAGGUGCUGCCUCCUUCCAAGAUGUCGGGGUAGUAUUUAAUUUCCUUUUCAUCUUUUUUCAGUUUUUGUUUUGUUUUGUGAAGUACUUGUUUUAUAAGUUAGGAUCCUGGGAUGCCUGCCAUAUUGGCGGAUGUUUCAAUCUGAAUUACACUUGGGACUUGUAUGACUGUCUUGUCUUCUGGGCUGGGAUUUGUACAUCUUUAUUGGUUUUUAUAACAGUUGUCUCUUGUACAUAAUGAAGUGAUACAAGAAACAGUAUGUACAGCCUUGAGUCUGGAGCUUGACACUAUAUUUCUACUAACAGAACACCAAUGGCAUACUGUAAUACAAAAUCCCUAGUACUGAUACUGACAUGAAGCUCACACCAUCCCUCCCAGUAGCAAAAUCCAUUAGUGGAGCUGUGACUGGUUGUGUGUUGUAUUAAAGGCUGAAAGCUCUUUAUUCAGUGAAGAGGUGGAGCAGCUUCAUUUCCCAUCAUAUUUUGCUGAGGACAAGAAUUGAAUGAUGCUUCACAAGCAGCAAUUUCACAGGUUCUCUAGAUGAAGAGUCUUGCUUUUGUUAUCUUUAAUUGUGACUAACAAUUCUAUGCUCUGUUUAUGAGGUACAGCAAUUACUUGCCAGUGAUUUUGUUUAUUUUCUAUUCAUUGUGCUUGGCACUGACUAGGUGAAAAUGAGAACGUAUUGUUACGAUGCUUGUAGACAUUCCUAAAUUCAAAUCAAGAGAGAAGAAUCUAUUGAAGAUGAUCAGAGACCUACCAUUUUUUCAAGUCCUAGGGAUGGAAGGGUUGACAACAACUCUGAUGGAGCCCUGUUAAAUCAGGUUUCAAGCAUGCUCUGCUCUCCCAGUCCUACCCCUCCCCUGAGUGAAGUUUGCAUUCAUACUGCUAUUACAAGCAAAUAUGUAUGGAGGGAGGUAUUACACGAUAAGAAUGGGAAGUGUACAACGACUUCACAGGGUUGCAUUCUGGCACUGUUUUCUUGAACCUAUUCAUGCUUUUCAGCUCCUGUUCAAAGACAAAGACUUCAUAGCUAUUAUCACUCUUCACUGACUAUGCUGUAAUAUAAGCUUUAUUUUAGCCUUUCUUUCUAUUCACUUGAUUCCAAAGUUAUUUUUUCCCUCUAUGCAAACUAGUCAGAUUAUUUUCUGUGAGUAUUCCAGUUCAGUGGCAUAUUCCAAAAGGCUAUCUUCCUGAAGGAUAGGUAUGCAAGAAGAAAACAUCACAAUCAUAGAAACAGAGUUAUGACAGAAGAAGAAAAUGUGAAAGAUGUCUGUUAUAUAAGCAGCAAUACUUCAUAAUCAAGUAUUAUUUUCUUCUGUUUCUGAAUAUGCUAUUUUAUUUCAGUAAAUUCACCUAUUCACUGCUGGGCUUUUUGUAUUUAUAUGUAUAAAGAUGUAUAUAUAUAUGCAUUGUGUGUGUGUCUGUAUACUUAUACAUGUAGGGGGGUAUAUAGAGAGAGAUAUAUGCUACAGUUUGCUUUAAGGUAAAUUUAUGGUAGUUGUUGAUAGAUGAAGCACUAAAAAUAGGGAAAUUGUUAUAUAAAGGAACAGAAUUUCUAAUGGUUCUGUAAGGCAAUAAUAAAGAAGCUUGUAUUGUCUUUCUAUUUCAUAGAAAAAUCCAUGACUGUGCAUCUAAUAAACUCAUGAAAGCUGGGACACUAAAGUGGUGGAAUGCAUUGACAAUGAAUGCAGCCUUCUUUCAACUGGUGAUGGAUUUUCUGUAGAUGGUAUCAGCAGGCGCAGCAGAAAUGAGAUGCCGCGUAUUCCUUCCCUAGAAGAAACUGCAUCUUCUGACUUUGGCGCCUGAAAUUUUUGACUCUUUUUUGUGUGCUUGCUAGUCUGGUGAUGUUAUCACUUUCACAAGAGCUUUUGUUUAGGGCUGUUUUUUCUGCCCUUCUCUCAAUUUUCACACCACCCCCCACUCCAAGCCCCAGCUUUGGCUGAAUGUAAAUCAAAUUUUGUGAUUGCCAAGAGCAAACCUAUACAUAAGCAUAACCAAAGCAAAACUUCAUCUAAAUGUUAAACAAAAUCUCUGGUCUAACCCAGAGUUAUGCUCAGUCAUUCCCUCUGGGGUUGUCCAGUUAGCAGCAGUGUGCCAGUUUUCCUUCAUAUGGCAACCACAGUGACAGCAAUCUGGUACACAAGCAUCCAGGAAGGUUAUGGCAACACCGUCCUCAGCACAUGUCAAUUAGCCAUACCUUUUUAUGUAGUUUUGCUGAGCUCUUUGUUGACAUGACUACUGUUGGUUCACAGAUAGCUUUUAAGUCUACUUUGGGUAUGUAUUAAAUAGCAGCCACCAUAUGACUGCACUUUAAACAUAACUUCAAAUACUGUCAGCAGUCUUGUACUGAAAGGGUCUUGCUGCUCUCCCAUCUUCCAGGGGAGAUCAGUGAAAAGGAGGCAAGGUCACAGAGAGGGAACAUCUUGCCUUAUGACCAGGGAGGAUGUAUACUUCAGUCCUUUACAAGCAAGCUUCCUCAUAAAACCUGUUUAAAUGCUCUGUAAGUCCAGAUUCAAAGACUUAGUUAUGAUUAAGGCCCUCAUCUACUAUUAAACAUCCACUGACUAAGUGGACACCUGGAAGAAUCUGAAAAGCCAGAAUCUGAAAGCAAAUAGUACUUUUCCAUGGAUAAUACCUUUGAUUCGAGUAUUUGCAUCCUACUUCACUAUUUGAUCAUUUGCAGGCUCUGACCCAGAUGGGCUUGAAGGACUCUUUCCCAAGAGAUAGCCUUUUCCUUCUCUGUGAUUAACUGUCAAAAAAUAUAUCAGGCUUUUCUCCCACGUUGCCUAGUCAUCUCUCUAAAAUACUAGACUAAAAGUUAGCAAUGUACUAAAGACAAGAUUUCUAGUAAAAUAAAAAUGUAUUUUAUCAGAAAAAGGUUGAAAGAGAUAAAAAGUAAACCAGAGUCCAUUCCAAGCCUUUACAUUUUGAAAACAUUGAUGAAAUACUUUUUCACUGUUUUACCAGCACUACUUUCAAGCUUCCUUCCCACGCUGUUGUGCAAGUUACUUGCAGAGUACACAGAGAUACAAAUCUUCACGAAGCCUGACUCCUAGUAUCUCUGACAAAUGCUCAUGCUGUGAAAGAAGAGGCAUUCGGCUGCCCUGGAUUAAGCAGGCUGUCAGACAUGCCCAGAGAAGUUACGAUGAAAAGAAGCUUCUUCAAAACUUUGUUUAAAGUGAGGGCUGUUAAUCAAGGCCUUGGUGCUCUCAUUAGAGAGGGGAGGAACCAUUUAAAGUCAGGAAGCUGCAGUAUAUGAAAGUCAUGAAAUUGAAAUGAAUGCAUCUUUUGCCAGCUGGUUUCACACCCCCAGUUGGCAAUCCACAAAGGUUUAGAGGGGGAAUUAAAUCCAUUUUUCAGCAGAAAUAACUAUUUUUGUGAUUAUCAUAUAGAUUCCAUGAGCUACACUUUGGUCCUAUCAAGACAGGCAGGCAGCUGCAUGAGAGGUGGAAAGAGAGAAAAUGAGAUAAAAUCACCACCAACAGAUACUGCAGGCAGGAAGGCAGCGUUGGAUCCCAGCCACAAUACUUCUGCAACCUGGUUUGAAUAGGCCUGAUGGGAUGCCAUAAUGUAACCUACACUAAACAAGGGAGGGGGCUCAAAAUCUAUGUUCACAGGCUGAGAGCAGGUGUCUGUGAUGAGAUCCCAUGCUGUGACAUGCAUGCAGCACAUUCUUACAUGAAAAUCCCUGGCUGAUGAAAUGACCACAAGAAGACAACAUGGAACCCUUACGGCAUGAUCAGAAGAAGCUUAAUUAAGCUCUGUGGUUAAUUUUAAAGACUUUUUGUCAGAAGCAUAGCGAGGAACUUCAGGCUGGCUUUCAAAAGUGCAGAACAUCCAAAACUCCUACUGAAGUCUCCAAGAAUUACAGGUUUUUAUACAGCACAGACAGGUAUGACUCUUGGAGCAAACAUGGAACCAUGACGGGAUAGUCCGGGCAAUGCAAUGCGUCACAUUAGAAGCCAGAUGAAGUCCUGCCCAUCUCUCACACCAGACCAACAUGCUGUCAUUGGAUCUGUUUCUUCUCACUUCUUUGAUGCUGCUGCUCUAAUCCUUACAUUGAAAUACAGCUAUGAGCUGAUUCUUGGAGAGAUCACUCAUAACUCAUCACUUAAGUGAGUCUAGCUGCUCUUAGGUUCACUGGUGUCAAUAGGCUUGUUUCAGGGUUGUCAGCUUAUGCUCAUGGGGCAAAUGGUGACAAAGUCCUGACUUCUCACUGCUUGUUUUUGCAAUAUCUAUGUUGUUAUGACAUCUGUUGUAAAACCAGGAUGAUACAUAAAUGUGGAAGUCAUUCCUAUAAAUCAGAAAGCAAGAUAGCAGACAAUGAAGUGCAGAGGAUUAUGUGUAUAUCACACAGGGAAUACAUUGCAUUAAUUACAGACAAACAUACAUUUCUUGGGUUUUGUCUUUUGGAAUGAGAACGAAGGGGACAAAUCAACAGAACAGGGAUACCCCAGUGAAACUUCACUGAAGUCAAUAGUGUUACACCAGGGAUACAUUUGGCUGAUUCUUUUGCUAACGGCUGUAUGAAAGCCUUAAUAUAGACUUUCUGCAUGUGUGAAGUGUAUGCCAAGACAAAUGCAAUGUG